RNAcentral lists this ribosomal RNA (541 nucleotides) under uncultured bacterium. RNAcentral's name for it is "bacterial SSU rRNA". It matches the Rfam family "Bacterial small subunit ribosomal RNA", at positions 355 to 912 of the family's 1533-position model. The record is from RNAcentral.
UGGGGAAUCUUGGACAAUGGGGGCAACCCUGAUCCAGCCAUGCCGCGUGAGUGAUGAAGGCCUUAGGGUCGUAAAGCUCUUUCGCCUGUGAAGAUAAUGACGGUAGCAGGUAAAGAAACCCCGGCUAACUCCGUGCCAGCAGCCGCGGUAAUACGGAGGGGGUUAGCGUUGUUCGGAAUUACUGGGCGUAAAGCGCACGUAGGCGGACCAGAAAGUUGGGGGUGAAAUCCCGGGGGCUCAACCCCGGAACUGCCUCCAAAACUAUUGGUCUAGAGUUCGAGAGAGGUGAGUGGAAUUCCAAGUGUAGAGGUGAAAUUCGUAGAUAUUUGGAGGAACACCAGUGGCGAAGGCGGCUCACUGGCUCGAUACUGACGCUGAGGUGCGAAAGUGUGGGGAGCAAACAGGAUUAGAUACCCUGGUAGUCCACGCCGUAAAACGAUGAAUGCCAGUCGUCGGGUAGCAUGCUAUUCGGUGACACACCUAACGGAUUAAGCAUUCCGCCUGGGGAGUACGGUCGCAAGAUUAAAACUCAAAGGAAUUG